RNAcentral lists this long non-coding RNA (954 nucleotides) under Oryzias sinensis (Chinese medaka). RNAcentral describes it as "lncRNA (ENSOSIG00000014036.1)". The record is from RNAcentral. Lineage: Eukaryota; Metazoa; Chordata; Actinopteri; Beloniformes; Adrianichthyidae.
UUUUUUCUAGCUGCUUCAUGUUUUCCUUCUUCUUAUCUGUUAUCAGUCCAAGGGAAACAUUUUGAAUAGAAAUUCACAUGGAAGGUUCUGGAAAAGGCAGGAUUUGUUAGUUUUUGGUUCCGGUAAAUCCAGGUGGAAUUCACACAGUAAGGUCAUUUCUCACACGCUGAAGCCGUCCGGCCCGUUAGGCAUCUGUCAGAACAGGAAAUGAGGAAGAGGAGGCCGCUCCCUGUGGAUCAGCGGCCGGCCUUCAGUCUGACUCACUGCUCUGGUUUCCCUGCAGCCUGUCGGACCACGAGCUGUUCACCAACCUGGACUCUGGCUUCAACAGCGUGGACAGCGGCAGCAAGCGGUGGUCCGGGAAUGAGUCUGCAGAUGAUUUUUCUGAACGCUCUCUUCGCUUGGCCGAAGUCAGCCGGGAUCAGACAAACCUGGAGGAGGAGGAGGAGGAGGAGGAAGAGGAGGAGGGCGGCUCCCUGCCAUCUACCAACAGAGGAGGAAAACUCUGCUGUAAUGGAGAAGCAGAGCAGGUGGACUUCAUCGACAGCAAUGUUACUGAGGAAGAGGAGGAAGAGCUCCGGAUAGAUGCCCCCACACCGCCUCUGGAGCAGAGAGGAACAUCUCCAUCGUCUCAGAGCCAGGACUCGGCAACCACCAGGUCAGUGUCUUCUAGUCGGGCUCCUCUGUGGAGCAGGAACGACUAGACUAGAUCCGUGUUUGUUAGCCGUUCAGUCCAUCCUCAGAGGAAAUGAGGGUCUGCAGGUCUUUCCCUGCUGUGGAGUCACAUGACCACAUUUGGAGGUUUGAAUGUUAGCAGAAACUGUAGGCAAAGACUCUUCCUCUUUAUCCCCUCUUCAUCCUCUGACAGGCUCACCCCAGGGUCAAUGAGAGGGCUGGGAAAAGUCAACAGACUGCUGCAGUAGGAUAGAACGAGAUACAAUAGAAUAGAACCAG